Molecule: ribosomal RNA, 503 nt
Filed under: uncultured bacterium
Lineage: Bacteria
Description: partial 16S ribosomal RNA
Rfam family: Bacterial small subunit ribosomal RNA
Source: RNAcentral
AUUGAACGCUGGCGGCAGGCUUAACACAUGCAAGUCGAGCGGGGUGAUGGUGCUUGCACUAUCACUUAGCGGCGGACGGGUGAGUAAUGCUUAGGAAUCUGCCUAUUAGUGGGGGACAACAUCUCGAAAGGGAUGCUAAUACCGCAUACGUCCUACGGGAGAAAGCAGGGGAUCACUUGUGACCUUGCGCUAAUAGAUGAGCCUAAGUCGGAUUAGCUAGUUGGUGGGGUAAAGGCCUACCAAGGCGACGAUCUGUAGCGGGUCUGAGAGGAUGAUCCGCCACACUGGGACUGGGACACGGCCCAGACUCCUACGGGAGGCAGCAGUGGGGAAUAUUGGACAAUGGGGGGAACCCUGAUCCAGCCAUGCCGCGUGCGUGAAGAAGGCCUUAUGGUUGUAAAGCACUUUAAGCGAGGAGGAGGCUCUUUUGGUUAAUACCCAAGAUGAGUGGACGUUACUCGCAGAAUAAGCACCGGCUAACUCUGUGCCAGCAGCCGCCGUAA